Bactrocera oleae (olive fruit fly) is the source of this 1180-nucleotide long non-coding RNA. RefSeq lists it as uncharacterized. Lineage: Eukaryota; Metazoa; Arthropoda; Insecta; Diptera; Tephritidae. The record is from RefSeq and is a predicted model, not a curated record.
AGUUUCUAAUCAAAAUUUUUAUCAAAACGGUCUAAUUGUUACGUGAUACAGGACAACGCCUGUCGUUCUUCUAGUUGAUAUAUAAAUUAAUUAUUAUUUUGUGAAUAUAGUUUUUAAUAAUAUACCCUACAAGAUAGAGGCAGUUAUAUAACACAGGCAGUGGAGAUUUUAGUUCGAAUUCAGAAGAAUUUACUAAGUAACAUCAAUAUUAAAAAUAUGUAGAAAGGAAACACCGCCCCAGGAAUAAAAUUCUGAAUCUAAUAUUGAACGCAGAAAACAGAUAUCACAAAUACAAUCACAUUUUCCAGCUGUUUAUCAACACAUGGACAUUCACUGUCGCUUCUAAUUAAUCGUUUGUAGAAGUUAAUUUAAUAUAAUUACAGAUACAAAUUUUUAUGCCUUAGCUGGAAGUAAAAAAGGAUUCAGAAUACAAUUUGUUUGUUACCCUUUCACGCCGAAACCACCUAACCGAUCAUCAUGAAACUUUGUACACACAUUCCUAAUGGUAUUAGAAAGGAUAUUGGAUAUUUAUUUUUUAAAACAAAUAAACUGUAAUAUAUCUAUAUUUUUAACGAAUUAUGAAAAAAAAAAUAUUUUGGCAGAUGAUAUCGGUUUGUAAAAUAAAUUUGAAAAUUGAAUAAAUUAAUUUAGCAGACAUGAUUGUUUGUCGAAUAAUUUCCAAAUGUAACAAAACAAAAAUGCAUCAAAAGCGUUAUUCAGACGAAAUUGGAGUUUUCUGGUUACCACCACCACCACCACGAAGAUGAUCAUCGCGGUAAAGUGUUUGUGUACAUACAUACUAUGUAUUUAGUUAUUUGAUUUUGUUACUUAUUUGAGAGAUUCAAUGCAGGCGAUGCCGCGGGACAUUAUUGGUGAAAAGCGCAGUUAACAAAAACAUAAAGUACGAGUAUAUAUUAGUUGCUUAAAAUUUUUUGUAUGUAUGUACUUAUACAUUUACCUAUGUUUCAAGUAUAAGUAAUUCCCUAUAAUAUUGUACAGUUGGAAUUAAGUAUCAAAGUUAAUUAAUAUGAAAAUAAAGAUAUAUUUUUGUUUUUAAUAUUUAAUUGUAAACUUAUUAUAUAUAUAUCAUUUUAAGGUACUAAUUAGUUAUUUCAGUGUCUAGUUUAACUAAGAAUUUUUGAUUAAAAUAAAAUAAAAAUCUAAAAAACGAGAAUUAAAA